This 497-nucleotide ribosomal RNA is filed under the name uncultured bacterium. RNAcentral describes it as "partial 16S ribosomal RNA". It matches the Rfam family "Bacterial small subunit ribosomal RNA", at positions 28 to 507 of the family's 1533-position model. The record is from RNAcentral.
GAUGAACGCUGGCGGCGUGCCUAAUACAUGCCAGUCGAGCGAACAGACGAGGAGCUUGCUCCUCUGACGUUAGCGGCGGACGGGUGAGUAACACGUGGAUAACCUACCUAUAAGACUGGGAUAACUUCGGGAAACCGGAGCUAAUACCGGAUAAUAUAUUGAACCGCAUGGUUCAAUAGUGAAAGACGGUUUUGCUGUCACUUAUAGAUGGAUCCGCGCCGCAUUAGCUAGUUGGUAAGGUAACGGCUUACCAAGGCAACGAUGCGUAGCCGACCGGAGAGGGUGAUCGGCCACACUGGAGCUGAGACACGGUCCAGACUCCUACGGGAGGCAGCAGUAGGGAAUCUUCCGCAAUGGGCGAAAGCCUGACGGAGCAACGCCGCGUGAGUGAUGAAGGUCUUCGGAGCGUAAAACUCUGUUAUUAGGGAAGAACAAAUGUGUAAGUAACUAUGCACGUCUUGACGGUACCUAAUCAGAAAGCCACGGCUAACUACGUG